RNAcentral lists this ribosomal RNA (253 nucleotides) under uncultured bacterium. Its description in RNAcentral is "partial 16S ribosomal RNA". It matches the Rfam family "Bacterial small subunit ribosomal RNA", at positions 524 to 776 of the family's 1533-position model. The record is from RNAcentral.
UACGAAGGGGGCUAGCGUUGCUCGGAAUCACUGGGCGUAAAGCGCACGUAGGCGGCUUCUUAAGUCAGGGGUGAAAUCCUGGAGCUCAACUCCAGAACUGCCUUUGAUACUGGAGAGCUUGAGUCCGGAAGAGGUGAGUGGAACUCCGAGUGUAGAGGUGAAAUUCGUAGAUAUCGAGAGGAACACCGGUGGCGAAGGCGGCCUCUGGACAGCAACUGGACGCUGAGACGCGAAAGCGUGGGGAGCAAACAGG